RNAcentral lists this microRNA precursor (92 nucleotides) under Canis lupus familiaris (dog). Its description in RNAcentral is "mir-8799 microRNA precursor family". It matches the Rfam family "mir-8799 microRNA precursor family". The record is from Rfam by way of RNAcentral. RNAcentral also lists the same sequence under 1 other name. Lineage: Eukaryota; Metazoa; Chordata; Mammalia; Carnivora; Canidae.
GGGGGGAGUGCAUGAUCCUGGGCUGUGUCCCCCAGCACCCUGGGAUCUGGGGCCUGUGCUGCUGGAAUCGUGCGCCCGGGCUGCGGCUCCCA